This 454-nucleotide ribosomal RNA is filed under the name uncultured bacterium. RNAcentral's name for it is "bacterial SSU rRNA". It matches the Rfam family "Bacterial small subunit ribosomal RNA", at positions 791 to 1242 of the family's 1533-position model. The record is from RNAcentral.
UAGUCCACACCGUAAACGCUGUCUACUAGCUGUUUGGUGCUAUAUGUACUGAGUAGCGAAGCUAACGCGCUAAGUAGACCGCCUGGGGAGUACGGUCGCAAGAUUAAAACUCAAAUGAAUUGACGGGGGGCCCGCACAAGCGGUGGAGCAUGUGGUUUAAUUCGAUGCAACGCGAAGAACCUUACCUACACUUGACAUGUUGAGAACUAUCCAGAGAUGGAUAGGUACCUUCGGGGACUCAAACACAGGUGCUGCAUGGCUGUCGUCAGCUCGUGUCGUGAGAUGUUGGGUUAAGUCCCGCAACGAGCGCAACCCUUGUCCUUAUUUGCCAGCAUUAAGUUGGGACUUUAAGGNGACUGCCGGUGACAAACCGGGAGGAAGGUGGGGACGACGUCAAGUCAUCAUGGCCCUUACGUGUAGGGGCUACGACACGUGCUACAAUGGGUAUGUACAG